GUGUUCUUCAGGUAUAUCAGGUCAUUAGACUGUGUUCUUCAUGUAUAUCAGGUAUAUCAGGUCAUUAGACUGUGUUCUUCAUGUAUAUCAGGUAUAUCAGGUCAUUAGACUGUGUUCUUCAGGUAUAUCAGGUCAUUAGACUGUGUUCUUCAGGUAUAUCAGGUCAUUAGACUGUGUUCUUCAUGUAUAUCAGGUAUAUCAGGUCAUUAGACUGUGUUCUUCAUGUAUAUCAGGUCAUUAGACUGUGUUCUUCAGGUAUAUCAGGUCAUUAGACUGU
This is a non-coding RNA of Oncorhynchus mykiss (rainbow trout), 277 nucleotides long. Lineage: Eukaryota; Metazoa; Chordata; Actinopteri; Salmoniformes; Salmonidae. The record is from RefSeq and is a predicted model, not a curated record.